RNAcentral lists this ribosomal RNA (253 nucleotides) under uncultured bacterium. RNAcentral's name for it is "partial 16S ribosomal RNA". It matches the Rfam family "Bacterial small subunit ribosomal RNA", at positions 524 to 776 of the family's 1533-position model. The record is from RNAcentral.
UACGUAGGUGGCAAGCGUUGUCCGGAAUUACUGGGCGUAAAGAGCGCGUAGGCGGGGAUUUAAGUCAGGAGUGAAAACUGCCGGCUCAACUGGCAGCCUGCUCUUGAAACUGGAUUUCUUGAGGGUAUGAGAGGAAAGCGGAAUUCCCAGUGUAGCGGUGAAAUGCGUAGAUAUUGGGAGGAACACCAGUGGCGAAGGCGGCUUUCUGGCAUACAACUGACGCUGAUGCGCGAAAGCGUGGGGAGCAAACGGU